CUGGAAGGGCGCUGCCUACACAUGCAGUCGAGCGGACAGAUGAUAUCUUGCUCCCUGAUGUUACCGGCGGAUGGGUGAGUAACGCGUGGGUAACCUGGCUGUAAGACUGGGAUAACUCCGGGAAACCCGGGCUAAUACCGGAUGGUUGUUUGAACCGCAGGAUUCAGACAUAAUACGUGGCUUCGGGAACCACUUACGGAUGGACCCGCGGCGCAUUAGCUAGUUGGUGAGGUAAGGGCUCACCAAGGCCACGAUGCGUAGCCCACCUGACAGGGUGAUCGGCCACACUGGGACUGAAACCCGGCCCAAACUCCUACUGGAGGCUACUGUAGGGAGUCUUCCGCACUGGACCAACGUCUGACCGAGCAGCGCCACGGGAUUGAUGAAGGUUUUCUGAUCGUACAGCUCUGAUGUUAAGGAAAAACAACUAGCGUUCGAAUAGGGCGGUACCUUGACGGUACCUAACCCGAAAGCCACGGCGAACUACGUGCCAUCAGCCACGGUAAUACGUAAGUAGCUAGCGUUGUCCGUAAUUAUUGGGCGUAGAGGGCUCGCAGGCUGUUUCUUAAUUCUGAUGUGAAAGCCCCCGGCUCAACCGCGGAGGGUCAUUGCAAACUGCCUAACUUGAGUGCAAAAUACGAGAAUGUAAUUACGAGUGUAGCGGUGAAAUGCGUAUAGAUGUGGAGGAACAGCAGUUGAGAAGGCAACUCUUUGGUCUGUAACUGACGCUAAUGACCUGAAACGUGAGGAGCGAACAGGAGUACAUACCCUGGUAGUCCACGCCCUAGACGAUCAGUGCUAAGUGUUAGGGGGUUUUCCCCCCCUUAGUGCUGCACCUCACGCAUUAUGCACUCCGCCUGGAGUAGUACGGUCCCAACACUGACACUCAAACGAAUUGACUAGUUCCACGCACAAGCGGUGAAGCAUGUGGUUUAUUUCGAAGCAACGCAAACAACCGUACAAGGUCUUGACAUCGUCUGACAAUCCUAGAAGAUUGGAC
RNAcentral lists this ribosomal RNA (1000 nucleotides) under Streptomyces sp. RNAcentral's name for it is "bacterial SSU rRNA". It matches the Rfam family "Bacterial small subunit ribosomal RNA", at positions 36 to 1015 of the family's 1533-position model. The record is from RNAcentral. Lineage: Bacteria; Bacillati; Actinomycetota; Actinomycetes; Kitasatosporales; Streptomycetaceae.